GACGCUGGCGGUUGGCGCUCCUGGUUUCCAGGAUGGGGUUCAAGUCCCUGCGGCGUC
Molecule: non-coding RNA, 57 nt
Organism: Anolis carolinensis (green anole)
Lineage: Eukaryota; Metazoa; Chordata; Lepidosauria; Squamata; Anolidae
Source: Rfam